This is a long non-coding RNA of Pseudopipra pipra, 544 nucleotides long. RefSeq lists it as uncharacterized. NCBI's taxonomy places the organism in Eukaryota, Metazoa, Chordata, Aves, Passeriformes, Pipridae. The record is from RefSeq and is a predicted model, not a curated record. The transcript is spliced from 2 exons.
GAGAUUUCCCACACCACAGCGCAGUGGCAAACGAGCACCCUGCGGGGAAAGCUCGGGCAGAGGAGGACUGGGCGACAGCCUCAGGUCACCAACACCGCUACGGAACUGCAGCACGGCUGAGGCGCACCGAACACCGGCGGAGGCAGGGGCGCAGCCGGAGCUUCACCUGCUCGGAGACUCGCCGGGAAGUCGCCCCCUCACCGAGGGGGUGCGGAGCGGCUCCCUGCGGGAUGCCGCCCUCCUCCCGCGAUACCACGGCGGGGGCUGCCGGCGCCGGGGGCCGAACCGCUGCGGCAGCAGCAGCGCGGCGGGGCGAGGGGGGUCCGCGGCGCCCUUCGGCAGCGGGCGGCGGCAGCCGGGCCGCCCUCCCCACGCCCCGCUCCAGCCGCCGCCGCCACCGGGCUGCACUGCGCUAGGGGCUGCUGCACCUGAGCGGCUGUGUCAGCGGGGGCAUAAACCAAAACCAGCCCCCGGCGAAUGCAUUAUGUAAUUUGAGAUUAUAUAAUCCUGAAAUACGAGGGGGAAAAAAAAAUCCCCCAAACCC